This 253-nucleotide ribosomal RNA is filed under the name uncultured bacterium. RNAcentral describes it as "partial 16S ribosomal RNA". It matches the Rfam family "Bacterial small subunit ribosomal RNA", at positions 524 to 776 of the family's 1533-position model. The record is from RNAcentral.
UACGUAGGAGACGAGCGUUGUCCGGAAUUACUGGGCGUAAAGCGCGUGUAGGCGGAUGGGCAAGUCUGCUGUGAAAGCUCCUGGCUUAACCGGGAGUGGUCGGUGGAAACUGCCAAUCUGGAGGACGGUAGAGGUAGGUAGAAUUCCCGGUGUAGUGGUGAAAUGCGUAGAGAUCGAGAGGAAUACCUGUGGCGAAGGCGGCCUACUGGGCCGGACCUGACGCUGAGACGCGAAGGCGUGGGGAGCGAACGGG